CCUACGGGUGGCAGCAGUGGGGGAUAUUGCACAAUGGGGGAAACCCUGAUGCAGCGACGCCGCGUGUGGGAAGACGGUCCUCUGGAUUGUAAACCACUGUCCCCAGGGACGAAAAUGACGGUACCUGGGCAGGAAGCUCCGGCUAACUACGUGCCAGCAGCCGCGGUAAUACGCAGGGAGCGAGCGUUGACCGGAAUUACUGGGUGUAAAGGGAGCGUAGGCGGGGAUGAAAGUUGGGGGUCAAAACUACCGGCUAAACUGGUAGUCGCACUCAAAACUGCAGCUCUUGAGUGAAGUAGAGGCAGACGGAAUUCCUAGUGUAGCGGUGAAAUGCGUAGAUAUUAGGAGGAACACCAGUGGCGAAGGCGGCCUGCUGGGCUUUUACUGACGCUGAGGCUCGAAAGUGUGGGGAGCAAACAGGAUUAGAUACCCUGGUAGUC
This 440-nucleotide ribosomal RNA is filed under the name uncultured bacterium. RNAcentral's name for it is "partial 16S ribosomal RNA". It matches the Rfam family "Bacterial small subunit ribosomal RNA", at positions 338 to 795 of the family's 1533-position model. The record is from RNAcentral.